GACAAGGAGCAGCUGAGGGGAGGGGAGCUUUACCACCAAAGCCUCGAACAUGGAGGGUAUCUCAUCAUCUGAUCAGAUUCAUUUCAAUAAUUUUUACAUCUAACUUUUAAACACACAGAAUGUAGCUUCUCCUCUCAGUCAAAACAACAUAAAAGAUGCAGGUUGAUGAUGCAGUGAAGCAGCAGGGGAUCAUGGGAUUUGCUGUCUUCAUUGUUUUAAAGUUUUCAGGUUUUGUUUAGUCACAACUUCCUUCUUCAUUCUCUCAUCGUUUCCUGGAGGCGACAGCGACAGGAAGUGAACCCCAGCAUUAGCUUGAAUUAACUACAGAUUUCUCCGGUUUGAACGUUGGUGGAGACAUUUGGGCGAGUGCAGCUGCCUGCCUCACACGUCCUUCUUUCAAGAUGACUUGUGAUUGGUUAGUUGAGGAACACCUGAUCGGUUUCAGGACCCUUUCCUGGAGGCCAGCAGCAGCUCGUGAUGACCUGCAGCUGUGUGGACCAUCAGCAUCCAGCAGAGGGAGUGAGACAGCUGAUAAUCCCUCUAAAGGUGACUCGUGGACAUUACAGACACCAUCAGCCAUCAGCUUCACUGUCCCAGGUCAGUGAACGUCUCUCAGCAACAAGAAUCUGAUGUUGGUCCCAGUUUAAGCAAAACUGUUUCCUGCCUAAACGUCCCUCCACCCUGACUGUUGGAGUUGGAGAUGCUGGAGUAGGUGGAGUAGGUGGAUUUGCAGCUCUGACCCUCGUAUCAUGUCAUCAAAGUGAGAGGCAGAGGUCUGGACAGCUGCUGGUCGUAGGCACUCAACAGGAUGUGAAAUACCGCAGAGUGGACCAGCAUUUCGUGUAGCUCCAGUGGAAACACAUCUUUGUCAAUAUGAGACCAUCAGAGCAACACAACGUAGUUUACAAAGAGGGGUGGAGGUCGGGGUUGACCCAGAAGACCAGAGUUCACGUCCCCUAUGAAACAUGCAGCGUUUGUGGCUACACUUAGCCAAAGUACCGUUUCAUGUUCACCAUGUGUCAGAAAGGCUCAGCAAUUAUGAAUCCAAAUUUGACGUAUUCAGGGUCAUGUUUCCUCAGCGCAGCUUGGAGCUCGUAGCGACUCGGGCCGCCCCACUUUGUGUCACUGCAUCCGAGGGAACGUUAGCAGAGCCCGUUGGUCUGGUGAGGCAUGAUGAUAUUCAAACCGCUCAUUUUAAUUUGAUGUAUUUUGUUUAUGUGAAUUUUUGAGCACAUUAAGAGACAAAAUAAAUAGCAGUUAAGAAUACAAGAGUCCAGUGCCAUGCAGUGCCCGACCUCCAGACCCUCCACGUAUGCUUGGAAGUGAAGACAUAACCCCACUCUGGACAAACGCUUUGUCUGGCGCGUUCAGAUGGAUUUGGACUGGGAAUAUCAAAGCUCCCGGUGGCAAAUUUCAGCUGGAUCGCUGCCCUGAAAUCUGCCUCAAAAUCCAAGAUGUACUGUCCAGCUUUCACCGGUGGACGUGUUGCUAAUGCAUUCUGAACUGGUACUGCUAACAGCGGACCUGGCUUUGGAAGUCCAUCUCGGUUCUCCAACUUGUUUUCCUGGCAUUUACACAGCAAGAGGCUCUUGACUCACCACAUAAAGCACAAACUUUUCCUGCAUCAGCUCUGAGAAACAGCCAACAUUUUUUUCUGGGCUGCUUUCUUGCCUUGCUGGACAUUGUUGUGUUACUGUGAAAACUGUAAUAAACCAGAGUUAUCCUUAAAGUUCAUGUCCUCCAGGUUCUGAGAACGUGCAGUGACUUCUGAGGCCAUUAAACCAUCGUGAAAUCAUUCAAAAAUGGUAAUCAGAAAUUGCGGGCAUAUUUUUAUGAGAAAAAGCAGCCAGAUCUUCUCAGUUCCUGGAGAAAAGAGACGGAGUACAGUACAUGUGGUCAUCAACAUUAACCUUGAGAUGGCAGUUUGAAGUUAAUUAUGUUUCCUUUGCAGUCCAACAGAGGGUGUAUCUGAGCCUGCAUCUGUGUUUAUGAAGAGUGUGUAAUAAUAGUGACUUAAUCACACAAACAGUGCAACCUCUCAGUCAACUUGACUUUGCGUGGAAACUCCACAUCUCGGGACAUUCUUUUGGUUGUUCACCCAAACCACACACUGUUAACAGCUGUGCAGUAUUUCACUCAGACCGCGCAGAGAUUUUCUCUCUUUUUUGGUGCCGAGCUCUUUUCCAAAACCACUCAUUAAUAAAGUAUUUGUGAUCAUGUGGCACUGACAGCGGGACAAAGAUCACUGCAUGAGAGAGGAGCGGAAAGCCAACGUUCAGAAGAAAGAAAAACAAAGCGAGCAGGGAUAAAAGAAAGAAAAAAGGUGGAUGUUUUAAGGGAGAAGGGUUAAGAAACGCUCUCUUUCCCGCUCUGUUGCACAUACACACUCUGCACGCAGAC
Scatophagus argus is the source of this 2400-nucleotide long non-coding RNA. RefSeq lists it as uncharacterized. The transcript is spliced from 3 exons. NCBI's taxonomy places the organism in Eukaryota, Metazoa, Chordata, Actinopteri, Scatophagidae. The record is from RefSeq and is a predicted model, not a curated record.